UACGGAGGGUGCAAGCGUUGUUCGGAAUCACUGGGCGUAAAGCGCGUGCAGGCGGCCUGUUAAGUCAGAUGUGAAAUCCCUUGGCUCAACCAAGGAACUGCAUCUGAAACUAAUAGGCUUGAGUACGGGAGAGGAGAGUGGAAUUCCCGGUGUAGAGGUGAAAUUCGUAGAUAUCGGGAAGAACACCGGUGGCGAAGGCGGCUCUCUGGACCGAUACUGACGCUGAGACGCGAAAGCGUGGGGAGCAAACAGGAUUAGAUACCCCCGUA
This 269-nucleotide ribosomal RNA is filed under the name uncultured prokaryote. Its description in RNAcentral is "partial 16S ribosomal RNA". It matches the Rfam family "Bacterial small subunit ribosomal RNA", at positions 524 to 792 of the family's 1533-position model. The record is from RNAcentral.